This 253-nucleotide ribosomal RNA is filed under the name uncultured bacterium. RNAcentral describes it as "partial 16S ribosomal RNA". It matches the Rfam family "Bacterial small subunit ribosomal RNA", at positions 524 to 776 of the family's 1533-position model. The record is from RNAcentral.
UACAGAGGGUGCGAGCGUUGUUCGGAAUUAUUGGGCGUAAAGGGCGCGUAGGCGGUGCGGUAAGUCACCUGUGAAAUCUCCUGGCUCAACUGGGAGCUUGCGGGCGAAACUGCCGUGCUGGAGUGUGGGAGAGGUGCGUGGAAUUCCUGGUGUAGCGGUGAAAUGCGUAGAUAUCAGGAGGAACACCUGUGGCGAAAGCGGCGCACUGGACCACAACUGACGCUGAGGCGCGAAAGCUAGGGGAGCAAACAGG